This 2927-nucleotide ribosomal RNA is filed under the name Escherichia coli. RNAcentral describes it as "23S ribosomal RNA". It matches the Rfam family "Bacterial large subunit ribosomal RNA". The record is from RNAcentral. Lineage: Bacteria; Pseudomonadati; Pseudomonadota; Gammaproteobacteria; Enterobacterales; Enterobacteriaceae.
GGGUUGUGAGGUUAAGCGACUAAGCGUACACGGUGGAUGCCCUGGCAGUCAGAGGCGAUGAAGGACGUGCUAAUCUGCGAUAAGCGUCGGUAAGGUGAUAUGAACCGUUAUAACCGGCGAUUUCCGAAUGGGGAAACCCAGUGUGUUUCGACACACUAUCAUUAACUGAAUCCAUAGGUUAAUGAGGCGAACCGGGGGAACUGAAACAUCUAAGUACCCCGAGGAAAAGAAAUCAACCGAGAUUCCCCCAGUAGCGGCGAGCGAACGGGGAGCAGCCCAGAGCCUGAAUCAGUGUGUGUGUUAGUGGAAGCGUCUGGAAAGGCGCGCGAUACAGGGUGACAGCCCCGUACACAAAAAUGCACAUGCUGUGAGCUCGAUGAGUAGGGCGGGACACGUGGUAUCCUGUCUGAAUAUGGGGGGACCAUCCUCCAAGGCUAAAUACUCCUGACUGACCGAUAGUGAACCAGUACCGUGAGGGAAAGGCGAAAAGAACCCCGGCGAGGGGAGUGAAAAAGAACCUGAAACCGUGUACGUACAAGCAGUGGGAGCACCCUUUUGGGUGUGACUGCGUACCUUUUGUAUAAUGGGUCAGCGACUUAUAUUCUGUAGCAAGGUUAACCGAAUAGGGGAGCCGAAGGGAAACCGAGUCUUAACUGGGCGUUAAGUUGCAGGGUAUAGACCCGAAACCCGGUGAUCUAGCCAUGGGCAGGUUGAAGGUUGGGUAACACUAACUGGAGGACCGAACCGACUAAUGUUGAAAAAUUAGCGGAUGACUUGUGGCUGGGGGUGAAAGGCCAAUCAAACCGGGAGAUAGCUGGUUCUCCCCGAAAGCUAUUUAGGUAGCGCCUCGUGAAUUCAUCUCCGGGGGUAGAGCACUGUUUCGGCAAGGGGGUCAUCCCGACUUACCAACCCGAUGCAAACUGCGAAUACCGGAGAAUGUUAUCACGGGAGACACACGGCGGGUGCUAACGUCCGUCGUGAAGAGGGAAACAACCCAGACCGCCAGCUAAGGUCCCAAAGUCAUGGUUAAGUGGGAAACGAUGUGGGAAGGCCCAGACAGCCAGGAUGUUGGCUUAGAAGCAGCCAUCAUUUAAAGAAAGCGUAAUAGCUCACUGGUCGAGUCGGCCUGCGCGGAAGAUGUAACGGGGCUAAACCAUGCACCGAAGCUGCGGCAGCGACGCUUAUGCGUUGUUGGGUAGGGGAGCGUUCUGUAAGCCUGUGAAGGUGUACUGUGAGGUAUGCUGGAGGUAUCAGAAGUGCGAAUGCUGACAUAAGUAACGAUAAAGCGGGUGAAAAGCCCGCUCGCCGGAAGACCAAGGGUUCCUGUCCAACGUUAAUCGGGGCAGGGUGAGUCGACCCCUAAGGCGAGGCCGAAAGGCGUAGUCGAUGGGAAACAGGUUAAUAUUCCUGUACUUGGUGUUACUGCGAAGGGGGGACGGAGAAGGCUAUGUUGGCCGGGCGACGGUUGUCCCGGUUUAAGCGUGUAGGCUGGUUUUCCAGGCAAAUCCGGAAAAUCAAGGCUGAGGCGUGAUGACGAGGCACUACGGUGCUGAAGCAACAAAUGCCCUGCUUCCAGGAAAAGCCUCUAAGCAUCAGGUAACAUCAAAUCGUACCCCAAACCGACACAGGUGGUCAGGUAGAGAAUACCAAGGCGCUUGAGAGAACUCGGGUGAAGGAACUAGGCAAAAUGGUGCCGUAACUUCGGGAGAAGGCACGCUGAUAUGUAGGUGAAGCGACUUGCUCGUGGAGCUGAAAUCAGUCGAAGAUACCAGCUGGCUGCAACUGUUUAUUAAAAACACAGCACUGUGCAAACACGAAAGUGGACGUAUACGGUGUGACGCCUGCCCGGUGCCGGAAGGUUAAUUGAUGGGGUUAGCGGCAACGCGAAGCUCUUGAUCGAAGCCCCGGUAAACGGCGGCCGUAACUAUAACGGUCCUAAGGUAGCGAAAUUCCUUGUCGGGUAAGUUCCGACCUGCACGAAUGGCGUAAUGAUGGCCAGGCUGUCUCCACCCGAGACUCAGUGAAAUUGAACUCGCUGUGAAGAUGCAGUGUACCCGCGGCAAGACGGAAAGACCCCGUGAACCUUUACUAUAGCUUGACACUGAACAUUGAGCCUUGAUGUGUAGGAUAGGUGGGAGGCUUUGAAGUGUGGACGCCAGUCUGCAUGGAGCCGACCUUGAAAUACCACCCUUUAAUGUUUGAUGUUCUAACGUUGGCCCCUUAUCGGGGUUGCGGACAGUGUCUGGUGGGUAGUUUGACUGGGGCGGUCUCCUCCUAAAGAGUAACGGAGGAGCACGAAGGUUGGCUAAUCCUGGUCGGACAUCAGGAGGUUAGUGCAAUGGCAUAAGCCAGCUUGACUGCGAGCGUGACGGCGCGAGCAGGUGCGAAAGCAGGUCAUAGUGAUCCGGUGGUUCUGAAUGGAAGGGCCAUCGCUCAACGGAUAAAAGGUACUCCGGGGAUAACAGGCUGAUACCGCCCAAGAGUUCAUAUCGACGGCGGUGUUUGGCACCUCGAUGUCGGCUCAUCACAUCCUGGGGCUGAAGUAGGUCCCAAGGGUAUGGCUGUUCGCCAUUUAAAGUGGUACGCGAGCUGGGUUUAGAACGUCGUGAGACAGUUCGGUCCCUAUCUGCCGUGGGCGCUGGAGAACUGAGGGGGGCUGCUCCUAGUACGAGAGGACCGGAGUGGACGCAUCACUGGUGUUCGGGUUGUCAUGCCAAUGGCACUGCCCGGUAGCUAAAUGCGGAAGAGAUAAGUGCUGAAAGCAUCUAAGCACGAAACUUGCCCCGAGAUGAGUUCUCCCUGACCCUUUAAGGGUCCUGAAGGAACGUUGAAGACGACGACGUUGAUAGGCCGGGUGUGUAAGCGCAGCGAUGCGUUGAGCUAACCGGUACUAAUGAACCGUGAGGCUUAACCUUACAACGCCGAAG